RNAcentral lists this ribosomal RNA (115 nucleotides) under Danio rerio (zebrafish). The record is from RNAcentral. Lineage: Eukaryota; Metazoa; Chordata; Actinopteri; Cypriniformes; Danionidae.
UAUGUCAGUCAUAUCACCCUGCAGCCCAAGAUUGGUUUCUCAUUGAAGCUAAGCAGGGCUGAGCCUGGUCAGUACCUGGAUGGGUGACCACUUGGAAGACUUGGAAGUGGUAUUA